CAGGUCUUGUCCUNNGNCCCUUNUGGAGAAAGAGUUUUCCCUUUNGGGGANCNNGANACCAGNUGCAUGGUUGUCUUCAGCUNGUGUGNGGAGAUGUUGGGUUAAGUCCCGCAAGGNCNACCCUUUUUUUUAGUUCCCAGCAUUAAGUUGGGCAAUUUAAGGGGAACCCCGGGGACAAACCGGAGGAAGGUGGGGAUGACGUCAAAUCAUCAUGCCCCUUAUGACCUGGGCUACCCACGUGCUACAAUGGACGGUACAAAGGGAAGCGAAGCCGUGAGGUGGAGCCAAUCCCAUAAAACCGUUCUCAGUUCGGAUGCAGGCUGCAACUCGCCUGCAUGAAGCNCGGAAUCGCUAGUAAUCG
This 361-nucleotide ribosomal RNA is filed under the name uncultured bacterium. Its description in RNAcentral is "partial 16S ribosomal RNA". It matches the Rfam family "Bacterial small subunit ribosomal RNA", at positions 975 to 1344 of the family's 1533-position model. The record is from RNAcentral.